GACGAACGCUGGCGGCGUGCCUAAUACAUGCAAGUCGAGCGGACCAAAGGGAGCUUGCUCCUGGAGGUCAGCGGCGAACGGGUGAGUAACACGUGGGCAACCUGCCUGUAAGACUGGGAUAACAUCGAGAAAUCGGUGCUAAUACCGGAUAAUAAAAAGAACUGCAUGGUUCUUUUUUGAAAGAUGGUUUCGGCUAUCACUUACAGAUGGCCGCGGCGCAUUAGCUAGUUGGUGAGGUAACGGCUCACCAAGGCAACGAUGCGUAGCCGACCUGAGAGGGUGAUCGGCCACACUGGGACUGAGACACGGCCCAGACUCCUACGGGAGGCAGCAGUAGGGAAUCUUCCGCAAUGGACGAAAGUCUGACGGAGCAACGCCGCGUGAGUGAUGAAGGUUUUCGGAUCGUAAAAACUCUGUUGUUAGGGAAGAACAAGUG
RNAcentral lists this ribosomal RNA (436 nucleotides) under uncultured bacterium. RNAcentral's name for it is "bacterial SSU rRNA". It matches the Rfam family "Bacterial small subunit ribosomal RNA", at positions 28 to 455 of the family's 1533-position model. The record is from RNAcentral.